UAUCUGGUCCAAUCUCUUUAACAUCUGUUGUUUUGGUAACAGCUGUUAAUCCAACAAUUCUUGAUGGGACACUUUUCUUGGAUGGAACAAUAUACACACGGUUUUUUUUCAACCAACACAUUGCGCCAAUCUCUAAGUUUACUAAUUGUUUUGCUGUUUCAGGAAACCAAACAUUUACCAUCAUCGACGUAGGAGCAAACACCCC
Molecule: long non-coding RNA, 205 nt
Organism: Arabidopsis lyrata subsp. lyrata
Lineage: Eukaryota; Viridiplantae; Streptophyta; Magnoliopsida; Brassicales; Brassicaceae
Exons: 3
Source: RefSeq, a predicted model, not a curated record